Rhododendron vialii is the source of this 2243-nucleotide long non-coding RNA. RefSeq lists it as uncharacterized. The record is from RefSeq and is a predicted model, not a curated record. The transcript has 3 exons. NCBI's taxonomy places the organism in Eukaryota, Viridiplantae, Streptophyta, Magnoliopsida, Ericales, Ericaceae.
UGAUCGAAAAUGUUCAACUAGUAGAACUUGUCAAGAAGAUAAUCAAUGUUGAAGAUCAUAUUAAUCGAAUGCCGAAUAAUACAUAAUCGGGCUGGAUCAAAGUGAGUUUCAUUUUAAGAAAAUAGAGUUGGCUACGCUGGAUCAAGCUCAUUAGUACUGUAUCAUUACGGAAUAAAUUCACUCAAUCGUCGUCACGCUUUCUACAGCUGAGGAAGGAAUUCAUGGGACUUCGUCUCUUCCAAUCUUUCAGUUUCUGCAGUUUUGGAGCUGAAGAUGAUGGUGAUGCUGUCUUGCUGAUGUUGCAGCUUGAGAUUUGAAUGAUGAAAUCAGAUUUUGGGGAAGUUUCUGAAUUUUGGUCCUUGGAGUAUGAGUUUCAGUUGAGGUAAUGGUGCCUAUGCUGGGGUGGUUCCUGUAACUGCUGUUGAAGUCGUGCUCUCUUUGAAACUUUUUGCUUCUGCUGCCUACAACUUUGCUGGUUGUUUUUGUUUGUCAGCUUGUACCAUUCUUUCCACAACCUUGUAUUUUUCUCCUUUCUAGGUCAUUGGAUGGCAUAUUAUUGUCCGGGGCGAAGGUGCCAACCUAGUUGGGCUUUUUGUUCUUGGUUGUGAUGCCACUUUGUCCUUUAUCCUUUUAAUCCUUGUAAUUCUUUAUUCAUCAACUGAUUAAUAAAAUCUCUUUCUUUGUUGAGUCCUGCUUUUGUAGAAGUCAUGGCAGGAGAGUUAAUUAGUUCUAGCGAAGGGACUGGUGGUAAUACUGACGACAAUUGUCAAUAAAAUCCCAGGGAGUUGAAGAGAGUGAUUCUUCCAAUCUCCUUUUCCUUUUUUCCCUUUUAGUUUCUUUUCAGGUAUAUUUGUGGUGAAGUAUUGAAUCUCACGUCGACUCCAACUCUACAAUCAAAAGCCUAGACAAACUAAAUUUAUUUAUUUUAUAUACGUAGGAAAAUUAGCCCAACUUAUGUGCUAUUUGAAAGAUUAAACGAAACCAGGUGCUUUUAGUGAUCUUUUAGAUUUAGUAUUGACUUUGUCUUGCCGAAGAUAGGUUGCUCCUCCCAAUAUAGUCGGGAGAACAAUGGUACAAGGAUGAGGAACAUAUUAGCCCAUCAUGCAAAAAUGCUAGUGAGACACAGAAGUGCACACGGACACUUGCUCUGGUACUCUAUUGUCGUUUUGUGCUUGACAUUCUUGGCCUUGAAUAUCAGCACAGUAAAUGUGAGCGUGUGCACUUGUGUGUGUGGAGUCUGUGGAUUAAUUGUUGCACAUGAUAUUACAUGGAGGAAGAUUAAGAAAAGGGAGAGAAGAUAUGCUGGAGAAAAUAAAAAAUGACUUUUGAGCUACGUGUGAGGAACUUCGUGUUUGUUUCCAAGUUAUCUCAUUUCUUCUUAAUCUAGAUGGGCAUUGCUGACGCUAUCAUGGACCUUGUUAGUUGCGAAACCACAUUGCGAGAGAACGAUUUAAAAGAAUUGAAUGUGGAGUAAUAUUGGAAAGUCAGGUGAACUCUCUUUUGACUAAACCAAGCAUGUAAAACCAAUCCUUGAGAAUUUAUACAAAAGAGGGUCUUUGUUCUAUCAAGUUGAAAUUGUCUGUAUGUUUUCUUACCUUGUCUUCAGGUUGUCCUUGUUGCUAGCAGGAAGUCCUUAACCCAACACAAAGGUGUAUUAGAGAUCACAUCCCACAUGAAAUGCUUGAAAGAUUGGAGGCACAUUUGAGGGCAGCUGGCCAGUUUACAGUUUGCAGAAUUUGAUUCUUAUGUUAUGGUUGCAGCUUCCUUUCUUUAUUGUCUCACUUAUUCAUUUUAGGUUACUGCAAACAUGUGGGGAACCGGGAACCAGUGUGGAGGAGGUGACCCAAGUGAGUACUGAGCCAAACAUCAUCGUCAGGCUUGCAUAUUGGAGGCAGUGAAGUUCGUUUUUCUCCUCUGACCUACAUUUUUUAUGAAGAACCCCCUCGAUGGCGUGAACUCCUUUCAAAACUUGUCAUGUAGUAGUUUUUUGGGAAUGCAUUGGGCCGUUUUUGCAUUCUAUCGCAUUAGCGUGUCGAAGAACUCCUGGUGCUUCUGUUAGAAGAGAAUUCAACUCAAGAAGUUGUGCCUUAAAUCUAUUUAGUGUAUUGUUAUUUUCUAAAUUGACCUCCAUAGUACUUGCUUUCAAUUUUUCCUGGUUCAAAUCUCUGAGCAUUGUCCCUGCCCCUCAUGGGGCUUCUCCUGUUGUAAUCUUAUCACUUUAUUCUGAAAUAAUUUUUCAUAAA